AACUAUAUGGUAUUAUAUAUAGCUUUUUCUGCACAAUGUGAAAAUAUGAAUUGCCGCAGUACUUUGACUGUGCUAAGGUAGCAUAAUCAUUUGGCUUAUAAUUGAAGUCUAGUAUGAAUGAAAUCAUGGGGGUCUACUGUUUCAAAGACGCAUUUUGAAUUUUUCUGGUUGGUGAAAAUGCCAAUAAAUACUUAAUAGACGAGAAGACCCUUGAAAUUUUUAAUAAUUUUUUUUGGAUAUGUUUUAGUUGGGGCGACAAAGUAGCAAAAAACCUACUUGAACUAAAUAAGCAUUAAAUAGGAUGGACAAAUAAAUUACUCUAGGGAUAACAGCAUAAUAUUAUAAAGUUUGUGACCUCGAUGUUGGACUAGGAUAAUAUAGCUUAGAAGGCUCCUAUUAUUGCUCUGUUCG
Molecule: ribosomal RNA, 411 nt
Filed under: Bradybaena circulus hiroshihorii
Lineage: Eukaryota; Metazoa; Mollusca; Gastropoda; Stylommatophora; Camaenidae
Description: partial 16S rRNA
Rfam family: Bacterial large subunit ribosomal RNA
Source: RNAcentral